RNAcentral lists this ribosomal RNA (252 nucleotides) under uncultured bacterium. RNAcentral describes it as "partial 16S ribosomal RNA". It matches the Rfam family "Bacterial small subunit ribosomal RNA", at positions 524 to 776 of the family's 1533-position model. The record is from RNAcentral.
UACGGGAGGGGCACGCGUCAUUCGGCUUGACUGGGCGUAAAGGGUUCGUAGACUGUAAAAUAAGUUACUUGUUAAACUUUAAAGCUUAACUUUAAAUCAGCUUGUAAUACUGUUUUACUUGAGUUUUAUACAGAAGAGUAGAAUUGUAUACGUAAGGGUAAAAUCUAAAGAUAUAUAAAGGAAUGCCGGUAGCGAAGGCGACUCUUUGGUAAAAACUGACGUUGAGGAACGAAAGUAUGGGGAGCAAACAGG